UAACGUCAAUUCAAAGCGUACGGUACACGGAAAGGGACGUUUCGAAACGUUUUAAACGUUACAUUUAGCAAUAAAAAGCGUUAAUUUUUAAAUUUCAGAAAAAAAUUAAAUGAGAAAAAAAUAAAAAAAAAAUACUUUUUGUUUUCUAAAAGUAUAACGAGAACAAAGUAAAGGACUUUAAGAAAUACAACAACAAAAACAAAGUGCAAAGUGAAACGAAUGAUCAAAGAGAAAAUCAUUAAAGAUAAAAGUUUUGAGCCUCCCCAAAAAGAAAAAAACCAUUCCUUAAAAUCCUCUCGACAUUUACAAAUACAAAUAAUUUUUUCUUUUGUAAAUGAGUGAGAUGCUGUAUGGAACUGCAAGAGUGUAAUUGACUUUUUGAACACAUAACAGGAAACAAAAAACAUAAAAACGGAAACAUUUCG
This is a long non-coding RNA of Lucilia cuprina (Australian sheep blowfly), 425 nucleotides long. RefSeq lists it as uncharacterized. The transcript is spliced from 2 exons. NCBI's taxonomy places the organism in Eukaryota, Metazoa, Arthropoda, Insecta, Diptera, Calliphoridae. The record is from RefSeq and is a predicted model, not a curated record.